AUGCAGCAACAGCUAAAUACUGUACUGUACCUCCAACGAGUAAGGCAAGUCCUAAGAAGCCAGCUCAAUGGCAAGAACAAAUCCCGGGCAAUAAACAGCUACGCCCUGCCAGUGAUCAGAUACCCUGCGGGAAUAAUAAGUUGGCCAAAGGAAGAGAUACAGACCACAGAUGUUAAGUCACGAAAGCUACUCACCAUGCAUGGAGGGUUCCACCCCAAAUCCAGCACCCUGAGACUGUACACUAGCCGCAAAGAAGGAGGCAGAGGAUUAGUGAGCGUGAGAGCCACUAUCCAGGAUGAAACAUCCAAGAUCCAUAAGUACAUCAAGGAUAAGACCCCGACAGAUGACGUGCUGAGUGAAUGUCUCAUGCAGUGGAGAACAGAGGAUGAGAUGCUGGAAGAGGGACCAUCAUGGGAGGACAAGCCCUUACACGGGAUGUACCACCGGAACAUAACUGAAGUGGCUGAUCUCAACAAAUCCUACCAAUGGCUUGAAAGGGCUGGGCUGAAGCACAGCACAGAGGCACUCAUCCUGGCUGCACAGGAGCAGGCCCUGAGCACCAGAGCCAUAGAGGCCCAGAUCUACCACACCAGACAAGACCCAAGGUGUAGACUGUGCAAAGAGGCCCCUGAGACGGUCCAGCACAUGACUGCAGGGUGUAAGAUGCUGGCAAGAAAAGCAUACAUGGAACGCCAUAACCAAGUGGCUGGCAUAGUAUACAGGAACAUCUGCACAGAGUAUGGACUGGAAACCCCAAGAUCAAAGUGGGAAACACCUCCCAAGGUGGUAGAGAACGAGCGAGCCAAGAUCCUGUGGGACUUUCAGAAAGCCGUGGUGGUUGAUGUGGCAAUACCAAGCGAUGGCAACAUCAGGAAAAAGGAACAUGAGAAACUAGAGAAAUACCACGGGCUCAGAGAAGAACUGGAGAAGGCUUGGAAGGUGAAGGCCACAGUGGUGCCUGUGGUGAUCGGAGCACUGGGGGCAGUGACCCCCAAACUGGAGGAGUGGCUACAACAGAUCCCUGGAAAAACAUCCGAAAUCUCAGUCCAGAAAAGUGCAGUCCUAGGAACAGCAAGGAUACUGCGCAGAACCCUCAAGCUUCCUGGUCUCUGGUAG
This 1116-nucleotide long non-coding RNA is filed under the name Betta splendens (Siamese fighting fish). RNAcentral's name for it is "lncRNA (ENSBSLG00000022140.1)". The record is from RNAcentral. Lineage: Eukaryota; Metazoa; Chordata; Actinopteri; Anabantiformes; Osphronemidae.